ACGAACGCUGGCGGCAUGCCUCACACAUGCAAGUCGAACGAGACCUUCGGGUCUAGUGGCGCACGGGUGCGUAACGCGUGGGAACCUGCCCUUAGGUUCGGAAUAACUCCCCGAAAGGGGUGCUAAUACCGGAUAAUGUCUUCGGACCAAAGAUUUAUCGCCUUUGGAUGGGCCCGCGUUGGAUUAGCUAGUUGGUAGGGUAAAAGCCUACCAAGGCGACGAUCCAUAGCUGGUCUGAGAGGAUGAUCAGCCACACUGGGACUGAGACACGGCCCAGACUCCUACGGGAGGCAGCAGUGGGGAAUAUUGGACAAUGGGCGAAGGCCUGAUCCAGCAAUGCCGCGUGAGUGAUGAAGGCCUUAGGGUUGUAAAGCUCUUUUACCCGGGAUGAUAAUGACAGUACCGGGAGAAUAAGCUCCGGCUAACUCCGUG
This 432-nucleotide ribosomal RNA is filed under the name uncultured bacterium. RNAcentral describes it as "partial 16S ribosomal RNA". It matches the Rfam family "Bacterial small subunit ribosomal RNA", at positions 29 to 507 of the family's 1533-position model. The record is from RNAcentral.